UACAGAGGGGGCAAGCGUUGUUCGGAAUUACUGGGCGUAAAGGGCGCGUAGGCGGCCAACUAAGUCAGACGUGAAAUCCCUCGGCUCAACCGGGGAACUGCGUCUGAUACUGGAUGGCUUGAGAUUGGGAGAGGGAUGCGGAAUUCCAGGUGUAGCGGUGAAAUGCGUAGAUAUCUGGAGGAACACCGGUGGCGAAGGCGGCAUCCUGGACCAACACUGACGCUGAUGAGCGAAAGCCAGGGGAGCAAACGGG
Molecule: ribosomal RNA, 253 nt
Filed under: uncultured bacterium
Lineage: Bacteria
Description: partial 16S ribosomal RNA
Rfam family: Bacterial small subunit ribosomal RNA
Source: RNAcentral